AGCGGCGGACGGGUGAGUAAAGCGUGGGUAACCUGCCCUAUACACACGGAUAACAUACCGAAAGGUAUGCUAAUACGAGAUAAUAUAAGAGAUUCACAUGGAUUUCUUAUCAAAGCUGAGGCGGUAUAGGAUGGACCCGCGUCUGAUUAGCUAGUUGGUAAGGUAACGGCUUACCAAGGCGACGAUCAGUAGCCGACCUGAGAGGGUGAUCGGCCACAUUGGAACUGAGACACGGUCCAAACUCCUACGGGAGGCAGCAGUGGGGAAUAUUGCACAAUGGGCGAAAGCCUGAUGCAGCAACGCCGCGUGAGUGAUGAAGGCCUUCGGGUCGUAAAACUCUGUCCUCAAGGAAGAUAAUGACGGUACUUGAGGAGGAAGCCCCGGCUAACUACGUGCCAGCAGCCGCGGUAAUACGUAGGGGGCUAGCGUUAUCCGGAUUUACUGGGCGUAAAGGGUGCGUAGGUGGUCUCUUAAGUCAGGAGUGAAAGGCUACGGCUUAACCGUAGUAAGCUCUUGAAACUGGGAGACUUGAGUGCAGGAGAGGAAAGUGGAAUUCCUAGUGUAGCGGUGAAAUGCGUAGAUAUUAGGAGGAACACCAGUAGCGAAGGCGGCUUUCUGGACUGUAACUGACACUGAGGCACGAAAGCGUGGGGAGCAAACAGGAUUAGAUACCCUGGUAGUCCGCGCCGUAAACGAUGAGUACUAGGUGU
This 710-nucleotide ribosomal RNA is filed under the name uncultured bacterium. RNAcentral's name for it is "bacterial SSU rRNA". It matches the Rfam family "Bacterial small subunit ribosomal RNA", at positions 94 to 823 of the family's 1533-position model. The record is from RNAcentral.